CCCAACUGACACAACAAAACACCUCCAAUAUGCAACAGGAAAGGCAGAAUGAACCACUUCUGGCUCCUUAACAACACCUGGCCAGGUGAUCAGAGAAGGCAAGGAUGUGAGUGAUAUUCAGUCAGCAUGAGAGACAGCUCAGUACCAUCAGGAACAUUGUUCAAUGCCAUCCUACAUCCUUAUGGUAGGCACAGCCCAACAUCAAGUUCUUUAAAGGGACAUGAAAGGCAAUCCUUGCCUCCCCAGAAGCAGUUUGGAGCAACAAGCUGCAUUCUUUCUUCUUCUGCCUGCCUCAGAGGAAGCAACAGCUUGACAGGCAGAGACCUGAAGCACAGAGCCAAUAAAGCCAAAGCAUACACAGCAUUUUCAGUCUUGAGCACCUACAAAAAUAUCAUUGGCACCAAACAUGGACUUCAGAGACCCAGUAUAGGGAAUAAGGACU
Molecule: long non-coding RNA, 442 nt
Organism: Passer domesticus (house sparrow)
Lineage: Eukaryota; Metazoa; Chordata; Aves; Passeriformes; Passeridae
Exons: 3
Source: RefSeq, a predicted model, not a curated record